UGAAGGGCGUGCUAAUCUGCGAUAAGCGCCGGUAAGGUGAUAUGAACCGUUAUAACCGGCGAUACCCGAAUGGGGAAACCCAGUGUGACUCGUCACACUAUCAUUAACUGAAUCCAUAGGUUAAUGAGGCGAACCGGGGGAACUGAAACAUCUAAGUACCCCGAGGAAAAGAAAUCAACCGAGAUUCCCCCAGUAGCGGCGAGCGAACGGGGAGGAGCCCAGAGCCUGAAUCAGCAUGUGUGUUAGUGGAAGCGUCUGGAAAGGCGCGCGAUACAGGGUGACAGCCCCGUACACAAAAGCGCAUGUGCUGUGAGCUCGAUGAGUAGGGCGGGACACGUGGUAUCCUGUCUGAAUAUGGGGGGACCAUCCUCCAAGGCUAAAUACUCCUGACUGACCGAUAGUGAACCAGUACCGUGAGGGAAAGGCGAAAAGAACCCCGGCGAGGGGAGUGAAAAAGAACCUGAAACCGUGUACGUACAAGCAGUGGGAGCACAGGUUUACCUGUGUGACUGCGUACCUUUUGUAUAAUGGGUCAGCGACUUAUAUUCUGUAGCAAGGUUAACCGAAUAGGGGAGCCGGAGGGAAACCGAGUCUUAAUUGGGCGUUAAGUUGCAGGGUAUAGACCCGAAACCCGGUGAUCUAGCCAUGGGCAGGUUGAAGGUUGGGUAACACUAACUGGAGGACCGAACCGACUAAUGUUGAAAAAUUAGCGGAUGACCUGUGGCUGGGGGUGAAAGGCCAAUCAAACCGGGAGAUAGCUGGUUCUCCCCGAAAGCUAUUUAGGUAGCGCCUCGUGAAUUCAUCUCCGGGGGUAGAGCACUGUUUCGGCUAGGGGGCCAUCCCGGCUUACCAACCCGAUGCAAACUGCGAAUACCGGAGAAUGUUAUCACGGGAGACACACGGCGGGUGCUAACGUCCGUCGUGAAGAGGGAAACAACCCAGACCGCCAGCUAAGGUCCCAAAGUCAUGGUUAAGUGGGAAACGAUGUGGGAAGGCCCAGACAGCCAGGAUGUUGGCUUAGAAGCAGCCAUCAUUUAAAGAAAGCGUAAUAGCUCACUGGUCGAGUCGGCCUGCGCGGAAGAUGUAACGGGGCUAAACCAUGCACCGAAGCUGCGGCAGCGACACUGUGUGUUGUUGGGUAGGGGAGCGUUCUGUAAGCCUGUGAAGGUGUGUCGUGAGGCAUGCUGGAGGUAUCAGAAGUGCGAAUGCUGACAUAAGUAACGAUAAAGCGGGUGAAAAGCCCGCUCGCCGGAAGACCAAGGGUUCCUGUCCAACGUUAAUCGGGGCAGGGUGAGUCGACCCCUAAGGCGAGGCCGAAAGGCGUAGUCGAUGGGAAACGGGUUAAUAUUCCCGUACUUGGUGUUACUGCGAAGGGGGGACGGAGAAGGCUAUGUUGGCCGGGCGACGGUUGUCCCGGUUUAAGCGUGUAGGUGUGUGUUCCAGGUAAAUCCGGUUCACUUUAACACUGAGGCGUGACGACGAGGCACUACGGUGCUGAAGCAACAAAUGCCCUGCUUCCAGGAAAAGCCUCUAAGCAUCAGGUAACAUCAAAUCGUACCCCAAACCGACACAGGUGGUCAGGUAGAGAAUACCAAGGCGCUUGAGAGAACUCGGGUGAAGGAACUAGGCAAAAUGGUGCCGUAACUUCGGGAGAAGGCACGCUGACACGUAGGUGAAGUGAUUUACUCAUGGAGCUGAAGUCAGUCGAAGAUACCAGCUGGCUGCAACUGUUUAUUAAAAACACAGCACUGUGCAAACACGAAAGUGGACGUAUACGGUGUGACGCCUGCCCGGUGCCGGAAGGUUAAUUGAUGGGGUCAGCGCAAGCGAAGCUCCUGAUCGAAGCCCCGGUAAACGGCGGCCGUAACUAUAACGGUCCUAAGGUAGCGAAAUUCCUUGUCGGGUAAGUUCCGACCUGCACGAAUGGCGUAAUGAUGGCCAGGCUGUCUCCACCCGAGACUCAGUGAAAUUGAACUCGCUGUGAAGAUGCAGUGUACCCGCGGCAAGACGGAAAGACCCCGUGAACCUUUACUAUAGCUUGACACUGAACAUUGAGCCUUGAUGUGUAGGAUAGGUGGGAGGCUUUGAAGUGUGGACGCCAGUCUGCAUGGAGCCGACCUUGAAAUACCACCCUUUAAUGUUUGAUGUUCUAACGUGGACCCGUUACCCGGGUUGCGGACAGUGUCUGGUGGGUAGUUUGACUGGGGCGGUCUCCUCCUAAAGAGUAACGGAGGAGCACGAAGGUUGGCUAAUCCUGGUCGGACAUCAGGAGGUUAGUGCAAUGGCAUAAGCCAGCUUGACUGCGAGCGUGACGGCGCGAGCAGGUGCGAAAGCAGGUCAUAGUGAUCCGGUGGUUCUGAAUGGAAGGGCCAUCGCUCAACGGAUAAAAGGUACUCCGGGGAUAACAGGCUGAUACCGCCCAAGAGUUCAUAUCGACGGCGGUGUUUGGCACCUCGAUGUCGGCUCAUCACAUCCUGGGGCUGAAGUAGGUCCCAAGGGUAUGGCUGUUCGCCAUUUAAAGUGGUACGCGAGCUGGGUUUAGAACGUCGUGAGACAGUUCGGUCCCUAUCUGCCGUGGGCGCUGGAGAACUGAGGGGGGCUGCUCCUAGUACGAGAGGACCGGAGUGGACGCAUCACUGGUGUUCGGGUUGUCAUGCCAAUGGCACUGCCCGGUAGCUAAAUGCGGAAGAGAUAAGUGCUGAAAGCAUCUAAGCACGAAACUUGCCCCGAG
RNAcentral lists this ribosomal RNA (2731 nucleotides) under Salmonella enterica subsp. enterica serovar Enteritidis. RNAcentral's name for it is "partial 23S ribosomal RNA". It matches the Rfam family "Bacterial large subunit ribosomal RNA". Lineage: Bacteria; Pseudomonadati; Pseudomonadota; Gammaproteobacteria; Enterobacterales; Enterobacteriaceae. The record is from RNAcentral.